GAUAUUAGCAGUGUGCAGAAGCGCGGCUCUUAUGUUUCAGCUUUUAGGCACCGGGAGAGAGAAAGUAGCCAGCACAAGGAGAAACUUUCCAGAUUCAAGUAUGGCAGUGUUUCAACUGAGUGGACUGGAAGAAUGAUUGCAAAUUGAAAUGACUUUGUAACGAAGUCUGAGCUCGCAAAAAAAAAAAAAAAAGGGCAGAAGAAAGGAAUAUUCAUUUUUUCUGAAAUUAGCAGAAAGAAUAACACUUGGAGAAAACAUCUAUCAUUAUGUCAGCGAGGAGGCUGACCUCAUGUGUUGACCUCAUCGGUGACUUCAUACCUACGGGAAGAGUUGCUGACCAUGCCGUUCCCUGAACCAAGUACCGUCCGGGCUAAAACGGAGCGUGCAAAAGCAUGGCAGAGUGGGACCUCAUCGCUGGGCUCCGGAGUUUGUCCCUCCCUGCCCUAAUACUGGCCAGGCAGCAGCUUCUCAUCAGGCGUGAGGGACGCCCAAGUCCCCUUC
Chroicocephalus ridibundus (black-headed gull) is the source of this 501-nucleotide long non-coding RNA. RefSeq lists it as uncharacterized. The transcript is spliced from 3 exons. The record is from RefSeq and is a predicted model, not a curated record. Lineage: Eukaryota; Metazoa; Chordata; Aves; Charadriiformes; Laridae.